UACGUAGGAGGCGAGCGUUGUCCGGAAUCACUGGGUGUAAAGCGCGUGUAGGCGGCCUGUCAAGUCUGCUGUGAAAGCGCCUGGCUUAACCGGGCGAGGUCGGUGGAAACUGGCGGGCUGGAGGCCGGUAGAGGGGGGUGGAAUUCCCGGUGUAGUGGUGAAAUGCGUAGAGAUCGGGAGGAACACCAGUGGCGAAGGCGGCCCCCUGGGCCGCGCCUGACGCUGAGACGCGAAGGCGCGGGGAGCGAACGGG
This 253-nucleotide ribosomal RNA is filed under the name uncultured bacterium. RNAcentral describes it as "partial 16S ribosomal RNA". It matches the Rfam family "Bacterial small subunit ribosomal RNA", at positions 524 to 776 of the family's 1533-position model. The record is from RNAcentral.